Molecule: non-coding RNA, 125 nt
Organism: Psammomys obesus (fat sand rat)
Lineage: Eukaryota; Metazoa; Chordata; Mammalia; Rodentia; Muridae
Product: small Cajal body-specific RNA 4
Exons: 1
Source: RefSeq, a predicted model, not a curated record
ACGGGAGGAUCAAGAAGGCUGAGUCUGUUGAAGCAAGGCAUUGCUGGUACACUCCUCCUAGAAAAAGGGGUCAGAGAGCAGCCCUCGCUGGAGAAAGCCAGGCUUGCUUGUGCUCCCCAGCACUU